AAGGGGUUGAAAAUUGAGGAGAGAAAGGUGAAUUACUUGCCGUUGGGGAGUGAGGCUCUAGAGAAGAAGGACGGACCCAAGUUCUCACUCACUCUCUCCAAGAAGGAGAUCGAAGAGGAUUUCAUACAGAUGCUCGGCCACCGCCCUCCCGCCGCCCCAAGAAGAGGCCCAAAGUGGUGCAGAAGCAAUUGGAUAUAAGUCAAUUCCAAAUUAUUACUCUUUCUUCACAAUUUCACUCAUCUUCUUCAUCUCUCUCAAAUUAACUGUCUUUCCACUUCUUCUUCUUCUUCUUCUUCUUCUUCCUUUGGUUUCUCUGGAAGCAAAGUAAUGAUAUUCAUGGUGGUUUGGAUUUACAGGCAUUGUUUUCCUAUAUAUGGUUGACGGAGUCUUAGCUGAUUCGUACAAGGUUGCGGAGUUCCCUGAAAAUGUCAAGAGGUAGCAAUUUGGAGCGAAUGCUGGCUUGUUUUGAUUGUUUUAAGGCUCGGUUUUCUGACUUCUGGUGCUGCUGGUAGCGCUAAUUAGUGUAAAUGUAAAGGUAAGCUGGGUGGCUGCUAUUAUAUGCAACUAGUUAUAUGGAAUAGAAUACCUACUCUAUGAUCUCGAUUUUGUGACUGUCUAAUGUUAAAGCUGCAUAAUAUCAGUAUCUGGUAUGGCUUGUAUGGCAGUUAUGGGAAUGAAUAACCAAAUCAUUAUGAGGGAGCUCUCACAUGUAGGGGAAUCCUUGUAUUUGCUUCUGUAAUGACAACUCUGGGACUGCAGAUCAUCUUAGAGUCUAUGCGCACCCUAAUUUCAUAUGGAAACAUUCCAGACAGUUAGAGUGGUAGUUGAGUUUGGAAGACAGGUUCUGCUAUUUAGAAUUUUUUGGGUAACAGCCUAUUUUUUUUCCUCUAAAUAUUUUGUUACUUUGCAUUCACAUUACGAUAGUGAUUUCUUUGGGCAUUUUCAGAUUGGUUUGUAUGAUGUAUGACAACAAACCGGUCUAUCUCUAAGUGUCAUAGAGAUUAUGAAGAGAAUGCUCCAAACACCGCUAUAAAUAUCGUGAAAACUUUCAUGUCUAGCUUGGUAGAUCUGUUAUUGACUUUACAAAACUGAUACAAAACUUUUUGUUUGCAUUUUAAAGUCCACUUUGCUUUUCAUUUUUUGUCUUUAUUGUUAUGUCGGUGGUGAGGUAUGCUCUGAUAUGAAUAUGUGGUAAUGAUAUUUGAUUAAUUUGCUGUUGAAAUUGGAUUUUGAUUGCCUGUGAUGUUGAAAUUUAGGUAAAGGUGGAAGCUUUUUCGGCUACUUUAAAUCUGGGGUGGGUGAUACAAUGAAAUGUUUAUUUAUUUGUUGCUCUUAGUUUUCGAGUUAGUAUAGGUAAACUAAUUUUAUCAAAUUGGAUUGAGCUUAUUGGAUGCCACGGAUUAAAGAUUAGAACGUCAUCAAUCAUUAUUUUAAGUUUCUAUUCGUUGUUGGUCUUCAUUUUCUCUUCAUCUAUCAGCAUUUGAAGGCUUUCUUUGAUUAUUAGGGACUGUUUGCUCGGUGGAGCAAGGGUUCUACGUCCUCUGUGUAUCGUGGUUCUUUAAUUUUAUCUUCACGCAUGCGAUUAGCUAUAUUGAUUGAAUUAGAGCUUAUAUAUUGGUUUGUACAUAUGAUGCAUACAAAAUGCAUCUCAUAGACAUAGGGUGAAACAAUAUAUUCUAUCAUUGAAUGAAAGUCCCUUUUGUAUAAACUUUGUUUGAACCAAUUUUUUAAUUAGUUUUCAUAUUAUAACGUUUAACAAAACAAAAUGGACAUAAAUUGUUGAAAAUCAUAGUUUCAGUUUACAUUAAUGUCAGCUGACUGAGUGGGAAGACCCUUACUUCCCUAAUCUUAAACGUAACAAUUUUGUCCCGUGGCAUCGCGCGGGUAGUCCUUCUAGUAUAUCUUCUAUGCAUCAGACUACCAACAAGAGCUAAGCACCAGACUUUAUGAAAUAUUGGAGAAGCUUCUCUGGAUUCUAAACCAUUAUCAUCAUUUUGAACUGGAAGUGAUAUUCUACAUUGAGAUCAAAAGACUGCUUAUCAUCUUUGCCUACAAGAGAGCUUCUGCAAGAACAAAUGAAGGUGCAUUAAAGGAAAGCAGGAGUAAUCUAUGUAGUUUAGGUCUUCCUAGCUAGAACAUUUUACAAGUACAGACUCAAUCUCUGUUGUCCCUAGCUUGAAUUAUAGGGAUUGUAGUACUGUUUCUAUGGUCAUAUAUUGAGCAUUAUUUCAGGAAAACGUUUA
Long non-coding RNA from Rosa rugosa (rugosa rose), 2243 nucleotides. RefSeq lists it as uncharacterized. The transcript has 8 exons. NCBI's taxonomy places the organism in Eukaryota, Viridiplantae, Streptophyta, Magnoliopsida, Rosales, Rosaceae. The record is from RefSeq and is a predicted model, not a curated record.